GAAGGACAGAAGGAAAGCUAAAUGCAGUGACGGUUCACCGAGUUGUACUUUUACUUCCUUGCCAGACAGCUUUGAAUCGCAACUCAAGGAUGGAGAGGUGAGGGAUGUUGGUACCGUCAGCGGUGCCGUGGGCCAGAAACAGAGUUCCUCCCUCAAGGCCUUUCAUGCCGGGCAGCACUUUGGACGCCUGAAAAUGAAACAGAGAGGUGAAUGUCGAAGACCUUGACAGUGCAGGAUGGCGUUCUGCGCGUUUGGACUGACGUCGGCGUCGAAGAACAGGCAGUCUUCC
Molecule: long non-coding RNA, 289 nt
Organism: Poeciliopsis prolifica (blackstripe livebearer)
Lineage: Eukaryota; Metazoa; Chordata; Actinopteri; Cyprinodontiformes; Poeciliidae
Exons: 3
Source: RefSeq, a predicted model, not a curated record